RNAcentral lists this ribosomal RNA (520 nucleotides) under uncultured Glomus. Its description in RNAcentral is "SSU rRNA". It matches the Rfam family "Eukaryotic small subunit ribosomal RNA", at positions 569 to 1090 of the family's 1831-position model. The record is from RNAcentral. Lineage: Eukaryota; Fungi; Glomeromycota; Glomeromycetes; Glomerales; Glomeraceae.
AGCAGCCGCGGUAAUUCCAGCUCCAAUAGCGUAUAUUAAAGUUGUUGCAGUUAAAAAGCUCGUAGUUGAAUUUCGGGACCAAUAUGUCGGUCGUGCUUCGGUACGUACUUGCAUUAUUGGUUUCUCCCUUCUGACGAACCAUGAUGUCAUUAAUUUGGUGUCUUGGGGAAUCAGGACUGUUACUUUGAAAAAAUUGAGUGUUUAAAGCAGGCUAACGCUUGAAUACAUUAGCAUGGAAUAAUGAAAUAGGACGAUCGAUCCUAUUUUGUUGGUUUCUAGGAUUGACGUAAUGAUUAAUAGGGAUAGUUGGGGGCAUUAGUAUUCAAUUGUCAGAGGUGAAAUUCUUGGAUUUAUUGAAGACUAACUACUGCGAAAAGCGUUUGCCAAGGAUGUUUUCAUUAAUCAAGAACGAAAGUUAGGGGGUACGAAGACGAUCAGAUACCGUCGUAGUCUUAACCAUAAACUAUAGCCGACUAGGGAUCGGAUGAUGUUAAUUUUUAUGACUUCAUUCGGCGCCUUA